RNAcentral lists this long non-coding RNA (831 nucleotides) under Linum usitatissimum (flax). RNAcentral describes it as "long non-coding RNA (LUSI_LNC002096)". Lineage: Eukaryota; Viridiplantae; Streptophyta; Magnoliopsida; Malpighiales; Linaceae. The record is from RNAcentral.
CAAAGAAUAUCCUGGAGGUUGCGGAAAAGAUGAGCAGCUUCUUUCAAAUUGCACAACCACAACCGUGACAGAAAAUGGUGGAGAUCCUGCUGGCAAUGUUGCUGUAACUAAUUCCAAGUCCCCAGUACUGCAACCCGAUGCUAGUGUUGAUGAAAAACCUUCGCCUCAACUUUCUGCCACCCUAGCUACUGGAGAUGAGUUUCCUAAAGAACCGAGUUGCGGUGGCCUGGAUCUUGUUUCUAAAGUUGAUGUAACUGCUAACACCCAGAAAGUAGAGAAAGAGCAGAAAAAUUUAGACUUGAGUGAGAAAAUGUCUGUACUUGACAUACAGAGCACCUGUCGCGUCGGAGUUACUGAUACCAGGGUAUCACUUAAGAUUGGAUCAGAACAGAGUCAUGUUAAAAGCAACAAUGAUGGAGCACCAGGUUCGCCAUCAGCUCUAACGUAUUAUUUUAAUCUUUUUUGCUUUGUCAUCUGGUACAGUGAUACUAUUCUUUUUUCGUUUGCGGAAUACUAUCAUAUUUCAGGUCACGGUAGUGGUUCUGUGAUGGCCGUGUGCAGUAGGGUUGCUAACAUAGAAUACAAAGCCGGUGCUGAUGCUGGGCCGUCUGAAGAGGUGAGUAAUGCUUUACUUGGCAUUUGCUUGUUUUUCAGACCUAGAUAUCUGGUUGUAGUGCUCUCCAUGAUAUUUUAUCCUUUUCAUAUUACUAGAGAGCCGUUGCUUUAAGAAUCGUUACGUUUAUUAUUGCCCUCCAGGUUGGGACCGCAAGCGGCGGGUCAUUUAACGAUGACAAGAAAGUUAAUCAGAACCAGGUCAAAUCCACUUCUCCU